Molecule: ribosomal RNA, 2858 nt
Filed under: Salmonella enterica subsp. enterica serovar Thompson
Lineage: Bacteria; Pseudomonadati; Pseudomonadota; Gammaproteobacteria; Enterobacterales; Enterobacteriaceae
Description: bacterial LSU rRNA
Rfam family: Bacterial large subunit ribosomal RNA
Source: RNAcentral
GGGUUGUGAGGUUAAGCGACUAAGCGUACACGGUGGAUGCCCUGGCAGUCAGAGGCGAUGAAGGGCGUGCUAAUCUGCGAUAAGCGCCGGUAAGGUGAUAUGAACCGUUAUAACCGGCGAUACCCGAAUGGGGAAACCCAGUGUGACUCGUCACACUAUCAUUAACUGAAUCCAUAGGUUAAUGAGGCGAACCGGGGGAACUGAAACAUCUAAGUACCCCGAGGAAAAGAAAUCAACCGAGAUUCCCCCAGUAGCGGCGAGCGAACGGGGAGGAGCCCAGAGCCUGAAUCAGCAUGUGUGUUAGUGGAAGCGUCUGGAAAGGCGCGCGAUACAGGGUGACAGCCCCGUACACAAAAGCGCAUGUGCUGUGAGCUCGAUGAGUAGGGCGGGACACGUGGUAUCCUGUCUGAAUAUGGGGGGACCAUCCUCCAAGGCUAAAUACUCCUGACUGACCGAUAGUGAACCAGUACCGUGAGGGAAAGGCGAAAAGAACCCCGGCGAGGGGAGUGAAAAAGAACCUGAAACCGUGUACGUACAAGCAGUGGGAGCACCCUUUGGGGUGUGACUGCGUACCUUUUGUAUAAUGGGUCAGCGACUUAUAUUCUGUAGCAAGGUUAACCGUAUAGGGGAGCCGGAGGGAAACCGAGUCUUAAUUGGGCGUUAAGUUGCAGGGUAUAGACCCGAAACCCGGUGAUCUAGCCAUGGGCAGGUUGAAGGUUGGGUAACACUAACUGGAGGACCGAACCGACUAAUGUUGAAAAAUUAGCGGAUGACCUGUGGCUGGGGGUGAAAGGCCAAUCAAACCGGGAGAUAGCUGGUUCUCCCCGAAAGCUAUUUAGGUAGCGCCUCGUGAAUUCAUCUCCGGGGGUAGAGCACUGUUUCGGCUAGGGGGCCAUCCCGGCUUACCAACCCGAUGCAAACUGCGAAUACCGGAGAAUGUUAUCACGGGAGACACACGGCGGGUGCUAACGUCCGUCGUGAAGAGGGAAACAACCCAGACCGCCAGCUAAGGUCCCAAAGUCAUGGUUAAGUGGGAAACGAUGUGGGAAGGCCCAGACAGCCAGGAUGUUGGCUUAGAAGCAGCCAUCAUUUAAAGAAAGCGUAAUAGCUCACUGGUCGAGUCGGCCUGCGCGGAAGAUGUAACGGGGCUAAACCAUGCACCGAAGCUGCGGCAGCGAGUAUCAGAAGUGCGAAUGCUGACAUAAGUAACGAUAAAGCGGGUGAAAAGCCCGCUCGCCGGAAGACCAAGGGUUCCUGUCCAACGUUAAUCGGGGCAGGGUGAGUCGACCCCUAAGGCGAGGCCGAAAGGCGUAGUCGAUGGGAAACAGGUUAAUAUUCCCGUACUUGGUGUUACUGCGAAGGGGGGACGGAGAAGGCUAUGUUGGCCGGGCGACGGUUGUCCCGGUUUAAGCGUGUAGGUGUGUGUUCCAGGUAAAUCCGGUUCACUUUAACACUGAGGCGUGAUGACGAGGCACUACGGUGCUGAAGCAACAAAUGCCCUGCUUCCAGGAAAAGCCUCUAAGCAUCAGGUAACAUCAAAUCGUACCCCAAACCGACACAGGUGGUCAGGUAGAGAAUACCAAGGCGCUUGAGAGAACUCGGGUGAAGGAACUAGGCAAAAUGGUGCCGUAACUUCGGGAGAAGGCACGCUGACACGUAGGUGAAGUGAUUUACUCAUGGAGCUGAAGUCAGUCGAAGAUACCAGCUGGCUGCAACUGUUUAUUAAAAACACAGCACUGUGCAAACACGAAAGUGGACGUAUACGGUGUGACGCCUGCCCGGUGCCGGAAGGUUAAUUGAUGGGGUCAGCGCAAGCGAAGCUCCUGAUCGAAGCCCCGGUAAACGGCGGCCGUAACUAUAACGGUCCUAAGGUAGCGAAAUUCCUUGUCGGGUAAGUUCCGACCUGCACGAAUGGCGUAAUGAUGGCCAGGCUGUCUCCACCCGAGACUCAGUGAAAUUGAACUCGCUGUGAAGAUGCAGUGUACCCGCGGCAAGACGGAAAGACCCCGUGAACCUUUACUAUAGCUUGACACUGAACAUUGAGCCUUGAUGUGUAGGAUAGGUGGGAGGCUUUGAAGCGUGGACGCCAGUCUGCGUGGAGCCGACCUUGAAAUACCACCCUUUAAUGUUUGAUGUUCUAACGUGGACCCGUAAUCCGGGUUGCGGACAGUGUCUGGUGGGUAGUUUGACUGGGGCGGUCUCCUCCUAAAGAGUAACGGAGGAGCACGAAGGUUGGCUAAUCCUGGUCGGACAUCAGGAGGUUAGUGCAAUGGCAUAAGCCAGCUUGACUGCGAGCGUGACGGCGCGAGCAGGUGCGAAAGCAGGUCAUAGUGAUCCGGUGGUUCUGAAUGGAAGGGCCAUCGCUCAACGGAUAAAAGGUACUCCGGGGAUAACAGGCUGAUACCGCCCAAGAGUUCAUAUCGACGGCGGUGUUUGGCACCUCGAUGUCGGCUCAUCACAUCCUGGGGCUGAAGUAGGUCCCAAGGGUAUGGCUGUUCGCCAUUUAAAGUGGUACGCGAGCUGGGUUUAGAACGUCGUGAGACAGUUCGGUCCCUAUCUGCCGUGGGCGCUGGAGAACUGAGGGGGGCUGCUCCUAGUACGAGAGGACCGGAGUGGACGCAUCACUGGUGUUCGGGUUGUCAUGCCAAUGGCACUGCCCGGUAGCUAAAUGCGGAAGAGAUAAGUGCUGAAAGCAUCUAAGCACGAAACUUGCCCCGAGAUGAGUUCUCCCUGAGACUUAGAGUCUCCUGAAGGAACGUUGAAGACGACGACGUUGAUAGGCCGGGUGUGUAAGCGCAGCGAUGCGUUGAGCUAACCGGUACUAAUGAACCGUGAGGCUUAACCUUACAACGCCGAAG